RNAcentral lists this transfer RNA (77 nucleotides) under Colwellia sp. MB3u-45. RNAcentral describes it as "tRNA-Arg". It matches the Rfam family "tRNA". From Rfam's summary of the family: Transfer RNA (tRNA) molecules are approximately 80 nucleotides in length. Their secondary structure includes four short double-helical elements and three loops (D, anti-codon, and T loops). The record is from RNAcentral. Lineage: Bacteria; Pseudomonadati; Pseudomonadota; Gammaproteobacteria; Alteromonadales; Colwelliaceae. RNAcentral also lists the same sequence under 5 other names.
GGACGCGUAGCUCAGCUGGAUAGAGUACCUGGCUACGAACCAGGCGGUCGCAGGUUCGACUCCUGCCGUGUCCGCCA